GAUGAACGCUGGCGGCGUGCCUAAUACAUGCAAGUCGAGCGAACAGACGAGGAGCUUGCUCCUCUGACGUUAGCGGCGGACGGGUGAGUAACACGUGGAUAACCUACCUAUAAGACUGGGAUAACUUCGGGAAACCGGAGCUAAUACCGGAUAACAUGUUGAACCGCAUGGUUCAACAGUGAAAGACGGUUUUGCUGUCACUUAUAGAUGGAUCCGCGUCGCAUUAGCUAGUUGGUAAGGUAACGGCUUACCAGGGCAACGAUGCGUAGCCGACCUGAGAGGGUGAUCGGCCACACUGGAACUGAGACACGGUCCAGACUCCUACGGGAGGCAGCAGUAGGGAAUCUUCCGCAAUGGGCGAAAGCCUGACGGAGCAACGCCGCGUGAGUGAAGAAGGUCUUCGGAUCGUAAAACUCUGUUAUUAGGGAAGAACAAAUGUGUAAGUAACUAUGCACGUCUUGACGGUACCUAAUCAGAAAGCCACGGCUAACUACGUG
Molecule: ribosomal RNA, 497 nt
Filed under: uncultured bacterium
Lineage: Bacteria
Description: partial 16S ribosomal RNA
Rfam family: Bacterial small subunit ribosomal RNA
Source: RNAcentral